AAAUUAUAAGUUGUAAAAAAGGUUGAACUAACUGGGUCAACUUGGGUUCCAAAUCUUANNNNNNNNNNNNNNNNNNNNNNNNNNNNNNNNNNNNNNNNUCUUAACUUAGAUGGAAUUGACACUGAUCCAAUCUUUUCUGAAGUCACCACUGCUAUCUCAACAAUUAUUGGAAGACCUGAAAAGGUUAUAUUCAUUUCCCUCACUUUUUUCACUUUCUGUGUUUUUCAUACAAAACUUAUAUGAUUGAUUGUUUAUGAGUUUUUUUUUUCUUUUUUCAUUUGUCUGAAUCCUUUGUUGGCUUGACACAAAUUAUGGGAUCAAUUCUUUUUCUUUUCUUCUUAGUUUCUAUCUUUCUUUUUUUUAUUUUUGGUUGAUUUUGAUAGAAUGAUUCAUGUUCUUUGUUGAUUGUCUUGCUUUUGGAAAGUUUGUUUUGAUUACAUACUUACCAUAUAAUAUAAAAUUAAAAACACAGUUUUAGAAAAUAUUUUAAUUUGGGCUAUGAAGUAGGUAGUGAGUACUCAGGAAGGAAUGCGUUUUCUUUCACCAAAUAUAUAGAUUAUCAAUUAUGUGUGGCAAUAACUAUCAACUGAGUUAUUUUACAUGACAUUUUGAUUUCUUUCUAAAUAUUUUUUUUAUGUAAAUUGAGUGUCAUUCGCGCACAACUGCAUAAACUAAUCUCUCAAGUCUUAUAUGACCUAAAUGAGUGACAAACUCUUCGUAACAAUUUUAACAUUGUUACAUACCCCAAGUCAGGAGUUGAACCCAGGAUCCUGGUUAAACUAAAAAAGACCUGCGUUAUCUCGUCUAAGUGUUUUUGGAUGUAUUUGUCUUACAUCGGUGUGAUUUCAUUAUUAUGGCAGCAAAUAAAAACAAACAUGUCUGGUUUCAUUUGAAUUUGUUAAUCAUUCCCAUGCAACUUGGUCAAAUCCAAGGCAAAGUUGGGUGUUUUGGUUUGGGGAAGUGUAGUAAUUUUAGUUUGUCUUUCAGUGUUCUUUAUUAUUGUUGACUUUAAAAUCAUAUCUCAAUGUUAAAAUAAUGAGAUAUGAUUUUAAAUUUCGUAAGACUUGAAUCUCCAUUAAAAAAAAUACUAUUCA
RNAcentral lists this long non-coding RNA (1094 nucleotides) under Trifolium pratense (red clover). RNAcentral describes it as "long non-coding RNA (TPRA_LNC014291)". Lineage: Eukaryota; Viridiplantae; Streptophyta; Magnoliopsida; Fabales; Fabaceae. The record is from RNAcentral.